RNAcentral lists this ribosomal RNA (495 nucleotides) under uncultured bacterium. RNAcentral's name for it is "partial 16S ribosomal RNA". It matches the Rfam family "Bacterial small subunit ribosomal RNA", at positions 29 to 506 of the family's 1533-position model. The record is from RNAcentral.
AUGAACGCUGGCGGCGUGCCUAAUACAUGCAAGUCGAGCGAACAGAUGAGGAGCUUGCUCCUCUGACGUUAGCGGCGGACGGGUGAGUAACACGUGGAUAACCUACCUAUAAGACUGGGAUAACUUCGGGAAACCGGAGCUAAUACCGGAUAAUAUAUUGAACCGCAUGGUUCAAUAGUGAAAGACGGUUUUGCUGUCACUUAUAGAUGGAUCCGCGCCGCAUUAGCUAGUUGGUAAGGUAACGGCUUACCAAGGCAACGAUGCGUAGCCGACCUGAGAGGGUGAUCGGCCACACUGGAACUGAGACACGGUCCAGACUCCUACGGGGGGCAGCAGUAGGGACUCUUCCGCAAUGGGCGAAAGCCUGACGGAGCAACGCCGCGUGAGUGAUGAAGGUCUUCGGAUCGUAAAACUCUGUUAUUAGGGAAGAGCAAAUGUGUAAGUAACUAUGCACGUCUUGACGGUACCUAAUCAGAAAGCCACGGCUAACUACGU